AAAAAACUCCCUCUGUCCGGAAAUACUUGUCGGACAAAUUGAUGUAUCUAGACAUAUUUUAGUCCUAGAUACAUUCAUUUUUAUCCAUUUCUUCGACAAGUAUUUCAGGAUGGAGGGCGUAGGUG
Triticum aestivum (bread wheat) is the source of this 125-nucleotide non-coding RNA. NCBI's taxonomy places the organism in Eukaryota, Viridiplantae, Streptophyta, Magnoliopsida, Poales, Poaceae. The record is from Rfam.